This 3997-nucleotide long non-coding RNA is filed under the name Homo sapiens (human). RNAcentral's name for it is "HSALNT0001779". Lineage: Eukaryota; Metazoa; Chordata; Mammalia; Primates; Hominidae. The record is from RNAcentral.
ACAGGAGAAGGCAGUGACCUCCUGUGGGGCAAUUUCUCUGGCUUCCUCAUGUGGAAGGCUCAGCUUUGUGAAAACAAGAAAUAGAUUUGCAAACUGGACAAGUGUGACUUCAGUCCUGAUAUGGUUUGGCUGUGUCCCCACCCAAAGCUCACCUUGAAUUGUAAUAAUCCCCAUGUGUCAAGACCGGGGCCAGGUAGAGAUACUCGAAUCAUGGGGAUGGUUCCCCAUACUGUUCUGGUGAUGGUGAAUAAGUCUCAUGAGAUCUGAUGGCUUUAUAAAUGGGAGUUCCUCUGCAAGGGCUCUAUCUCUUGCCUGCCUCCAUGUAAGACGUGAUUUUGCCCCUCAUUCACCUUCCACCAUAAUGGUGAGGCCUUCCCAGCCAUGUGGAACUUUGAGUCCAUUAAACCUCUUUCCUUUAUAAAUUACCCCGUCUUGUAUGUCUUUAUCAGCAGCAUGAGAACAGACUGAUACAAGCCCUCUCCAGCAGGAGACCAGAGGCAAGAGGAAUUUGCUUCCUGUGGUUGACAGCCUCAAGAAUGUCAGACACUAUAUAAACCUGCAGGGUGCCCUACUUCCAAGUCCCUACAGACAUGGGCCUUUUAAAAGUUGCACAGUGGUGAGAAUGUCCAGUUGGAAAGCCUCGUUAGCACAGUGCAGCCCGUCCAUGGCUGAAGUCCUGGGCUUAUCCUGGACCUGCCCUCAUCCUGGACCUGCCCUCCCACGUCCUCCCUCCUGGCUAGCGGCAGCUCCAGCCUUCCAGUCAGGCCCACACCUCACAGUCCCGGGCUUGUCUCUGCAUCCUCUAUCCAGCCCAUCACAGGUCCUGCUGCUUUGCCUUCAGAGAGUGUCCAAGAGUUGACCACUUGUCACCACCCCCACCACUGCCCCCAUCCAAGCCACCAACAUGGUCCUUUUAGAAUGCAAGCCAGGUGCAGUGGCUUAUGCCUGUAAUCCCAGCACUUUGGGAAGCCAAGGUGGGCAGAUCACUUGAGGCUAGGAGUCCAAGAGCAGCCUGGCCAACAUGGUGAACCCCAUCUCUACUAAAAAUACAAAAAUUAGCUGGGCAUGUUGGUAGGCACCUGUUAUCCCAGCUAUUUGGAAGGCUGAGGCAGGAGAAUCGCUUGAACCCAGCUGCAGUGAGCCAAGAUUGCACCAUUGCACGCCAGCCUGGGCAACAAGAGCGAAACUCUGUCUCAAAACAAAACAAAACAAAACAAAACGCCAGGCGCAGUGGCUCACGCCUGUAAUCCCAGCACUUUGGGAGGCCGAGGCAGGUGGAUCACAAGGUCAGGAGAUCAAGACCAUCCUGACCAACAUGGAGAAACCCCAUCUCUACUAAAAAUACAAAAUUAGCUGGGCGUGGUGGCGCAUGCCUGUAAUCCCAGCUACUCAGGAAGCUGAGGCAGGAGAAUUGUUUGAACCUGGGAGGCAGAGGUUGUGGUGAGCUGAGAUCGCGUCACUGCACUCCAGCCUGGGCGACAGAGGGAGACUCCGUCUCAAAAAAAAAAAGAAUAUAAGGCAGACCUUGCCCGGCUCUGACCAACACCCUCCAGGGGCUCCCAUCUCAUUCAGCCAGAACUGGAGUCCUCAGAAUGACUUGCUAAGCCUGCACAUCUGACCCCAGCCACCUUCUGACCUCAUUGUCUUCUUCUCUCCCUCCCCCACCCUCUCUGCUCAGCCACUCUCUGCCUCAGGCCUUGUUAGCUGUCACCAAGAACCUCUCAUGCUAAAUGGAAUGCCCCUGGGUGACUUUUCCCGCACCCUGGCAUCCCCUGCCUCUGGAACACGGCCUCACUCACAGUGGGCUCUGGGGCGCUUGUUGUAUGUUAGAAGCUCUCCCUGUUAAGGCCGCUGUGUGGAAGGGGCAGCCACAUGGUUGCCUCCUCCACCGUUUCUGUCUGCCUCUGAUGGCCCUCCGGCUCCCGACUGCCUGCACAGUCGGGGGGUGGCACAGUGCCUGCAAAUCUAAGCCACCCUCUCCCACUCCCUGAGCAGCUCCUAGCCAAUGACUGGAAAGCCUGGCACCCUUGCUUUCAUCGCAGGCUCUGCUUCUGGGGUACACUCUGAGACAGGAGCUUUCCUCUGUCCUCUCCCGCAAAGAGCCGGUUCAACCUGGGGGUCUGGGACGAUGAGGGACUGAGGUGUCUAGAUACACUCCCCUGUGCGUGGCCCAGGCUGCAUCAUCUGCCCCCACUGCCUGGGCCAAGCCCCUGCCCUGGCUUUUCAUUCCCUUUGGGAAUCUGACACGUUCACGACGCAGGUACACAAGCCUUCCCGGGGCCAGGAUGCUGUAUACACAAGAUAAACGGACUUGGGUCUUAGUCCCAUUCCCCUCGGGUCACGCUCCUCCUCCACCCAGGGUGGCUACAGUCAUGAACCUGACAGGUGUCCUUCUAGUCCAUGCUUUUCUAUUUUACCGCACAUACACCCAGGAACAACAUAUGGCAUUGCUGUGAGGUCUGAAAAUUCAUCCCAAUGCCAUUCUGCAAUCUGCUUUGUUCACAUUUGCGGGGGGCCAACGUUGGUGGAAAUAGGUCUGGUUUAACAGCUGUAACUGCUGCACUGUGCUCCAUACGAUGAAUGGACCGUGGCUUACUGGUCCGUACUCCCUAUAAUGAAUGGACCGUGGCUUACUGGUCCAUACUCCCUACAAUGAAUGGACUGUGGCUUCCUGGUCCAUACUCCCUACAAUGAAUAGACUGUGGCUUCCUGGUCCAUACUCCCUACAAUGAAUAGACUGUGGCUUCCUGGUCCAUACUCCCUGUAAUGAAUGGACCGUGGCUUACUGGUCCGUCUCCCGACAGUGAGGCUGUUUCCAGUUUCUCACAACUGCAGCUGCUCAGCAGCCCUCUGCCCGGAGCACAGCCCCUUCCCCACAGCAGCCUUCCUCCCUGACCCAGAGGCCCAUGUCCUCUUCUUUCGGGGCUCUUGCCUCUGUCUGUAAUCCUCCAGGUGGGAAGACUCCUAGGUUGAGAGCAGGCUCCCAAGGUCACCACUGCAGCCCCAAGCCCGCUCGGCACCAGGCAGGUACUGAGCCUCUUUUGAUUGACAGAUGGACGCAAGAGAAUAAUGGGAGUUGUGCACUAGGCCUUGACCCUGUGCCAGGGACAAGCCAGGAUGGCCUGGGAAAGCCCUGGCACUUGGUGCCCAGGGGGCAGAAGAGCAAGCUGUGAAUAGCUAGACCUGUCCGUGGGGUGGGCCGAGGCCCUGGGGAACUUCUGGACGUGUCAGCCCAAGUCAGCUGUGACCAGACACAGGGGCUACCAGGAAGAGGUCGCCCCUGCCUCCUAACCUAGCAUCGUCACUGGCCUGAGGAGCAGGUCCACUGCUAACAAGUUCACCAUCACUUAGGGAGCCCUCCUCACGCCAGGCACUUCACACCUGGAGCAGGCACCAACCCUUUCUAGAAGACACUGAAGGCAUGCAGCUAGUAAGUGGCAGAGCAGGAUUCCAAAGAGUGCCUGGGUCAUCUGGUUCAGAGAAACGGAUGCCCACGCACCACACCCACCAGUGUCUCUCUCUCCUGUGGCCUCUGCUAGGCCAGAGCCAGGCUCAAGCCCAGCUCAGCCAACGCACAUGCCUGUUUCCUCCUGCCAUGACAGAAUGGGGCAGCACAGCACAGGCUCCACCUGGGAACUGGCAGGAGACAUCUUCCCAGGAACAAGGCCAGGCCCCAGCCCAGCCAGGAGAUUGAAGGUGGUUCAAAACACAGCCCAUCUACAGAAUUCCCCAAACUUUAAUGCUGUGCUCUGAAAAGGGAGGCUGGAGGUUGUGGUGGGACACAGUGUUGCUGACACCUCUGGCCUCCAGCCCUGCAUCCCUAGGAGGUAAAGAGAGACCCUGGUUCCAGCCUGGGAACCAGUGGGUGCCCUGAAGGGAGGGGAGGCCUCAGGGAGUUCGGGACAGGAGUGUGCAUGGUACUGGGCGGCCCAUGGGGGCUCCUGGCCUCUUGGUUCAGGAGCAUCCCUAGAACGACCUCCCAGGCACGAGGAAGGCC